UGUGAGGAUUGAAGGCUUCAAUUGCCGCAGCAGCAUCUCUGCUUUCGCUUAGGUAAAACCAGAAACCAACCAAAAACAAUAAAAAUUUGAGAUUUUUGGGAUGAGAUGAGUUACCAUAACGAAUUCGUUUUAGUCUUUGUACAUAUAGAGUGAAAAAAAGAGAGUCAUCAUUCAACUCCGGUUUGUGAAUAUGUUUAUUAGGUGAUGAAUGAGUGUUCAUUUGAUAUCGGAAAAUAAAUACUUUUAGUAUAAACCCAAAGAAGAGCAAUAAAUCAAAAGAUUGUUCUCUUUAGUUUGGGUAUUAAUUAGGGUUCUUAUUUAGCAUUAGGCUAAAGUUUGUAUUGAGUAUCUACUGUAGUGUGAGAGAGACUACAAGAAAGACUUGUUCUUUUGUGACGGUAAAGUUUGUCACUCUUUAUCCUUCAUUGUAAUUGUAAUCUGAAGGAGUAAUGAAAAUGGUCUAAUUCUUUAUAGCAA
RNAcentral lists this unclassified non-coding RNA (477 nucleotides) under Hevea brasiliensis (rubber tree). Lineage: Eukaryota; Viridiplantae; Streptophyta; Magnoliopsida; Malpighiales; Euphorbiaceae. The record is from RNAcentral.